UACAGAGGGGGCAAGCGUUGUUCGGAAUUACUGGGCGUAAAGGGCGCGUAGGCGGCCUGUUAAGUCGAACGUGAAAUCCCCGGGCUCAACCCGGGAACUGCGUCCGAUACUGGCAGGCUUGAAUCCGGGAGAGGGAUGCGGAAUUCCAGGUGUAGCGGUGAAAUGCGUAGAUAUCGGGAGGAACACCAGUGGCGAAGGCGGCUUCCUGGACCGGUUCUGACACUGAGGAGCGAAAGCGUGGGGAGCGAUCCGG
This 253-nucleotide ribosomal RNA is filed under the name uncultured bacterium. Its description in RNAcentral is "partial 16S ribosomal RNA". It matches the Rfam family "Bacterial small subunit ribosomal RNA", at positions 524 to 776 of the family's 1533-position model. The record is from RNAcentral.